GAUAUCCUGAGAGGUGAUGCAUAGCCGAGUGAGGCGAAUUCGGUGAUCCUUUGCUGCCAAGAAAAGCCUCUAGCGAGCACACACACGGCCCGUACCCCAAACCAACACAGGUGGUCAGGUAGAGAAUACCAAGGCGUACGAGUGAACUAUGGUUAAGGAACUCGGCAAAAUACCCCCGUAACUUCGGGAGAAGGGGGACCUCCUACUGUCAUGGCCCUUGCGGCCGGCAGCGGUGGGGGGUGGCACAAACCAGUGAGAAGCGACUGUUUACUAAAAACACAGGUCCGUGCGAAGUCGCAAGACGAUGUAUACGGACUGACGCCUGCCCGGUGCUGGAAGGUUAAGAGGACCCGUUAACCCUUCGGGGUGAAGCGCAGAAUUUAAGCCCCAGUAAACGGCGGUGGUAACUAUAACCAUCCUAAGGUAGCGAAAUUCCUUGUCGGGUAAGUUCCGACCUGCACGAAUGGCGUAACGACUUCUCAACUGUCUCAACCAUAGACUCGGCGAAAUUGCACUACGAGUAAAGAUGCUCGUUACGCGCGGCAGGACGAAAAGACCCCGGGACCUUCACUAUAGCUUGGUAUUGGCGUUCGGUUCGGUUUGUGUAGGAUAGGUGGGAGACUGUGAAACUCACACGCCAGUGUGGGUGGAGUCAUUGUUGAAAUACCACUCUGAUCGUAUUGGACUUCUAACCUCGGACCGUAUAUCCGGUCCAGGGACAGUGCCUGGUGGGUAGUUUAACUGGGGCGGUUGCCUCCUAAAAUGUAACGGAGGCGCCCAAAGGUUCCCUCAACCUGGACGGCAAUCAGGUGUUGAGUGCAAGUGCACAAGGGAGCUUGACUGCGAGACGGACAUGUCAAGCAGGGACGAAAGUCGGGACUAGUGAUCCGGCACCCCCGAGUGGAAGGGGUGUCGCUCAACGGAUAAAAGGUACCCCGGGGAUAACAGGCUGAUCUUCCCCAAGAGUCCAUAUCGACGGGAUGGUUUGGCACCUCGAUGUCGGCUCGUCGCAUCCUGGGGCUGGAGCAGGUCCCAAGGGUUGGGCUGUUCGCCCAUUAAAGCGGCACGCGAGCUGGGUUUAGAACGUCGUGAGACAGUUCGGUCUCUAUCCGCCGCGCGCGUCAGAAACUUGAGGAGACCUGUCCCUAGUACGAGAGGACCGGGACGGACGAACCUCUGGUCCACCAGUUGUCCCACCAGGGGCACCGCUGGAUAGCCACGUUCGGACAGGAUAACCGCUGAAAGCAUCUAAGCGGGAAACCUUCUCCAAGACCAGGUUUCUCACCCUUUUAGAGGGAUAAGGCCCCCCGCAGACCACGGGAUCGAUAGACCAGACCUGCACGCACCGCAAGGUGUUCAGGGAACUGGCACUAACCGGCCGAAAACUUACU
RNAcentral lists this ribosomal RNA (1391 nucleotides) under metagenome. Its description in RNAcentral is "bacterial LSU rRNA". It matches the Rfam family "Bacterial large subunit ribosomal RNA", at positions 1550 to 2925 of the family's 2925-position model. The record is from RNAcentral.